CCUACGGGUGGCAGCAGUAGGGAAUAUUGCUCAAUGGGCGAAAGCCUGAAGCAGCAACGCCGCGUGGAGGAUGAAGGUCUUCGGAUUGUAAAAUUCUUUUAUUAGAGAAGAUAAUGACGGUAUCUAACGAAUUAGCACUGGCUAUUACCGUGCCAGCAGCCGCGGUAUUACGGAGGGUCCACGGGUUCCGUGUUAUCACUGUGCGUAGAGUGCGCGUAGGCGGGUUAGCAAGUCAGAUGUGAAAGCCUUGGGCUUAACCCUAGAACGGCAUUUGAUACUGGUCAUCUAGAGUAUGGGAGAGGAAGGUGGAAUUCUAGGUGUAGCGGUGAAAUGCGUAGAGAUCAGGAGGAAUACUCAUUGCGAAGGCGACCUGCUGGAACAUAACUGACGCUGAGGCGCGAAAGCGUGGGGAGCAAACAGGAUUAGAUACCCGAGUAGUC
Molecule: ribosomal RNA, 440 nt
Filed under: uncultured bacterium
Lineage: Bacteria
Description: partial 16S ribosomal RNA
Rfam family: Bacterial small subunit ribosomal RNA
Source: RNAcentral